This 140-nucleotide unclassified non-coding RNA is filed under the name uncultured Epicoccum. Its description in RNAcentral is "sequence contains ITS1". The record is from RNAcentral. Lineage: Eukaryota; Fungi; Ascomycota; Dothideomycetes; Pleosporales; Leptosphaeriaceae.
CCUAGAGUUUGUGGACUUCGGUCUGCUACCUCUUACCCAUGUCUUUUGAGUACCUUCGUCUCCUCGGCGGGUCCGCCCGCCGGUUGGACAACAUUCAAACCCUUUGCAGUUGCAAUCAGCGUCUGAAAAACUUAUAGUUA